This 182-nucleotide small RNA is filed under the name Chrysemys picta bellii (western painted turtle). RNAcentral describes it as "TUC338 (ENSCPBG00000002034.1)". The record is from RNAcentral. Lineage: Eukaryota; Metazoa; Chordata; Testudines; Emydidae.
GUAACAGCCCUGGAGAGUGAAGCCCUCUGUUUAUCCACAGAGCUGAUACAGCCUGGGCAGUGGCAGGGCAAGUUUAAUGCAUGGUGCCCUGACUGUGAUUUUUAGGGUGUGUGUCCACAGCAAAUGAAUGUGUGAUUGUAGUAUGGGUAUGCUUACUCACAGGAGUUUAAUCUAGCGAUCAC